CGGGCCUUUACAGGUCUGGCAAUUGGAAUGAGAACAAUUUAAAUCCCUUAUCGAGUAUCAAUUGGAGGGCAAGUCUGGUGCCAGCAGCCGCGGUAAUUCCAGCUCCAAUAGCGUAUAUUAAAGUUGUUGCAGUUAAAAAGCUCGUAGUUGGAUUUCUGGCAGGGGCGAGCGGCCACACACUAUGUGUGUGAGCUUGCUUACUCCGCCGUCCUUGAGGAGAUCCUAUUUGGCAUUAAGUUGUCGGGUAGGGGAUACUCAUCGUUUACUGUGAAAAAAUUAGAGUGUUCAAAGCAGGCUUAUGCCGUUGAAUAUAUUAGCAUGGAAUAAUAAUAUAGGACCUUGGUACUAUUUUGUUGGUUUGCGCACUAAGGUAAUGAUUAAGAGGGACAGUUGGGGGUAUUUGUAUUCCAUAGUCAGAGGUGAAAUUCUUGGAUUUAUGGAAGACAAACUAAUGCGAAAGCAUCUACCAAGGAUGUUUUC
RNAcentral lists this ribosomal RNA (480 nucleotides) under uncultured diatom. Its description in RNAcentral is "SSU rRNA". It matches the Rfam family "Eukaryotic small subunit ribosomal RNA", at positions 487 to 971 of the family's 1831-position model. Lineage: Eukaryota; Bacillariophyta. The record is from RNAcentral.